CAGCACCUCAAGUGGUCAGGAUGAUUAUUGGGCCUAAAGCAUCCGUAGCCUGCUUUGUCAGUUUUCGGUUAAAUCCAUACGCUCAACGUAUGGGCUGCCGGGAAUACUACAAGGCUAGGGAGUGGGAGAGGUAGACGGUACCCGGUAGGAAGGGGUAAAAUCCUUUGAUCUAUUGAUGACCACCUGUGGCGAAGGCGGUCUACCAGAACACGUCCGACGGUGAGGGAUGAAAGCUGGGGGAGCGAACCGGAUUAGAUACCCGAGUAGUCC
Molecule: ribosomal RNA, 270 nt
Filed under: uncultured archaeon
Lineage: Archaea
Description: partial 16S ribosomal RNA
Rfam family: Archaeal small subunit ribosomal RNA
Source: RNAcentral